RNAcentral lists this ribosomal RNA (506 nucleotides) under uncultured bacterium. RNAcentral's name for it is "bacterial SSU rRNA". It matches the Rfam family "Bacterial small subunit ribosomal RNA", at positions 8 to 507 of the family's 1533-position model. The record is from RNAcentral.
AGAGUUUGAUCCUGGCUCAGAUUGAACGCUGGCGGCAUGCCUUACACAUGCAAGUCGAACGGCAGCACGGGAGCUUGCUCCUGGUGGCGAGUGGCGAACGGGUGAGUAAUACAUCGGAACGUACCCUGAAGUGGGGGAUAACGUAGCGAAAGUUACGCUAAUACCGCAUAUUCUGUGAGCAGGAAAGAGGGGGAUCGCAAGACCUCUUGCUUUAGGAGCGGCCGAUGUCGGAUUAGCUAGUUGGUGGGGUAAAGGCCUACCAAGCCGACGAUCUGUAGCUGGUCUGAGAGGACGACCAGCCACACUGGGACUGAGACACGGCCCAGACUCCUACGGGAGGCAGCAGUGGGGAAUUUUGGACAAUGGACGCAAGUCUGAUCCAGCCAUGCCGCGUGCGGGAAGAAGGCCUUCGGGUUGUAAACCGCUUUUGUCAGGGAAGAAAUCUUCUGGGUUAAUACCUCGGGAGGAUGACGGUACCUGAAGAAUAAGCACCGGCUAACUACGUG